UAUACAUGUUUAUGAUGCCUUAACAAGUUACUAAUGAUCAGGUGAUUAAGUAAGGAAGAAAGUUGAUAUGACGGGGGGUUUUUAUGACUAUCGAUGCUCAAAGUUGAAGUUUAUGGACAUGAGUAAUUACUUGUGUUAUUUUGUUCUAGAAGGUUAUUUCUCUACGUGUUUUGUUAAUUGAUUGCUGAUGUUUUCAUUAGCUUGGUGUGCAAAUUUGGGUUGAAAGUUUUUGGUGUGAGAAGCUCUGUAGUUAUUGCUUUUGGAAUCCAAGGAUGGAUAGUUCUGAGAAAAAGUUUUAAUUUGAUAAUUUUGGUUGAUUGGUACCAACAAUAAAUGUAAGCUAUAAAGUACCUGCAUGUACGCUUCUGGUGUCCACCCCAACCACAAUGCUACUAGGAAAUUUAUAUGAUUUGCGAAGUAAAACACUUUUUCUUUGAUAUGAUAUUUGUAUGUAACUUAAAUUAUUUGACCGACAUGUUCUUGAGGUAAGAACAUGUUUAUGAUGCCUUAUACAUGAUGAUCCUUCUACAUGUUUAUGAUGCCUUAACAAGUUACUAAUGAUCAGGUGAUUAAGUAAGGAAGAAAGUCGUUAUGACGGGGGGGCUUUUAUGAUUAUCGAUGCUCAAAGUUGAAGUUUAUGAACAUAAUUAUGUAGAACAAAUCACAUUGAGGUAAGAAAUCUCAUGAUUGUGCAGUUUCCAUCACAGACUAAAAUGAGAAAACAGAGAGCUAGAGACUAAUUUCACAACUAAUCUGAAAUAACAAAAACAAAAUUUGGAAGCCCUAAUAUCCUUUGCUAAAUCUGAGAUGUUACAUGGUUCUUAAUUGUAGGGGAAGGAACUAAAUGAUGUUAACUCAUUGGCUGAAGUCAUAACACUAACUCUAAAGUGUGCUUUGAGUUGUUUUUAGAAACUUGAUUUUAAUAUUUCACUAUAAAAAUAUUUUUUUGACUAGCUGUUCUUCCAGGUGUUUCUGACAGGAUGGAUAGACUCAAUGCUGAAGUCACAACACAACUCUGAACUGUGAAUAUGCUUUAUUGUUUCUUUAUGUGAUAAAUGACUAGUCUAAGCUUCAGUUUUUUGUUCUUGUCUUUUAAUGUAUUAUUAAACUAUUAUGGCUUGUAAUCAAUGUUUUAAAUUAAUUUAUCCUGUCUGAUUUUCCAGCCGUUAUCCUUGCUGAAAUCCUAGAAGAUGAUGUUUUGGUCUUCCCCCACAUGUACUCGAUACUUACUGAGAUAGGUCAUGUUUACAUGGUUCCACUUAAGCAUUCAUCUUUUCAAAAAUGACAUGCUCUGUUUUAUUGGAACUUAUAGGUAUAAGAGGAGUUUGAAAGAGUUGCAUAAAAUGCUUCAUUGGUGCAAUGAGCAUUUCAACAGUUCAGCCAUGUAAACAAGGAGGCACUAGAUCAACAUGUAAAUCUCACUAGGAAACAGGAGGAACUUCAGACACGGCAAGCUGAACUUGAGGCAAGUGACAAGGUACUACGGUACUGGAUUUUAAUGGUUAAAUGUCUUCUGUUGUACUUAUUGUUUUUAAUGUGAGAUUAUGAUUUAUGUAUCUUUACUUCAACGAUAAACAUAAGCCAUAAAAAAAUAGACUGAGCUUGAGCCUGAUGUGAAAGACGUGCUAGAGAGAAUUUCAGAACAUAUCCAAGCCAAGGUAUCAAACUGUAGCAAAGAGAAAAAUGCUAAUUAUUUUUUGGGGAUAAAAAAUGUUGAAUGCUUUUAUUUAACAUGUGCUUUGCUUUCAGGAUGAUGCUAUGCUAAAAUGUAAGGUAUCUCCUCAACUAAAAUUUUCUACAUAUUACUACCUAAGCUAUAAUUUCAGCUGAAAGGGCCUCACUUUAGGUUUUUGUCCUCUACUGUCAAUAAACUAAUUUAUACAGCUAACAUGGUCGGUAAUAAUAAAACACAGUCUAGUAGAUGGAGAAUUUGCAAAUAAGUAAUUAAAACAUCAUUAUUUAAGAAUUAUUUGUGUAUUUUGUUACUUAAAUUAAUAUGUUAGGGGAUUUUAUACCUUCUUUGAUUUGACCUAGUGGAGGAUUUGGGGGACCUGAAUGGACACACAUAGUCGAGUGAAAUUUGAUUUUUUGCAAUUUAUACAGGUUUCCUUACUCUUGUGGAUAUGAACUCUUCUACUUUCGUCGUAGAUUCAAGGAAGCUUCUGUGGAUUUCUAGGUUUUCUUUCCUUCACUUGUUGUUGGGUGAUUUUUCGUUUUAGUCCAAGGAACCGGAACCAUCUUGUUAUGAGAAAUAAUUGAUUUUUAUUUUCCACAUUAACUGGACACUUCGAUGAUAAGUUUUUUACCUUUUCCAGAUGUUGUACUAGCUACAAAUGUUCGGGAUUUAUUCAAGGUCUAUAGCAGUAACUAGUAGAUGCCCACCAUUAUACUAAAAACAAGACCCCUUUGAAAAUUUCUAGUUUUAUGAUGAGCUGUCUUCAAGGUUUAUGUGUAAAUGUAUGGAUUAAUUGAAAUUAGAUAAGUAUGUUUUGCUACUUGGUAUGAGUAUGCAAUUGAACUUCUUAACUCUAUUGUUGCAAGUCCUCGUGCCUCUCUUGCCAUUUCCUUUAUAUUCUGAUUUUUUGAUUUUAAAUAAGUCAUCUACUUCAGGAAGAAAAUUAUAGGCUGAAUGCAGACUUCAAAGAGCGAAAUGCCUACGUUGAGAGCUGCAGAGCUGAAAUCGUUAUUUUCUAGUCUCAUGAAGGAUUCAAUAGUCAUAAAGCAUAGAGAAACAAGCUACAAGAAGCAUGUAUCCUUUUCUCUUUCUAUUUUGGUCAGGCUUAUUGAAAGGGCAUAGUUUGACUAGACUUUUCUGCUUUUGUAGAUCAUGGUGAAAAAGAAAAGUGAACUUAUUGUUGAAUUUGAUAAGCUAAGACCACAAGUGUUCUUAUUCCUCUGUCGUUGGGUCCUAUUUAUAGGAAAAAUCUCUUGUAGAUGUCACUAAUCAAAUAGUGAGCUUAAAGCCACUGUGACCACGAAACAAGGUGAGGUGGGCACAGAGCUCAUUGAUCACUUAACACCACAGGAAAAACAUGAACUAUCCCAGCUGAACUAAGAAAUAAAAGAUCUUAAAGAGGAGCUUAUUAAAUUUAGAACAGAUCGCAUCGAGGUAAGAUAUCUCAACCUUGUGAGAAGCAACUGUACUUAUCCUUAACAGGUAUUUGUUCUGUUUCACAUGAAGCUUUUGUGGCCUUCCAAGCUACUUCCAUAUUUAUGAUCUGCUUUCUGAUAGGCCUCUUGCUUGCUGUCAUGCAUGCCUAUAUGCUAAUGGGUGUAUGGUAAUACAUUGCCCCAAAAGUUUCUGUAUAUUUGUUGCUAAUUGAGGUGGGUGACUUUUUGGAAGAAAAUAGUUUAUUAUCGUUUAUUAUUGCCACCUGUUGCACUAGAGGUGAUAGAUUGAUGUUGCACUGAUGUGUCUUGGCCUCAAACCCUAGAAAAAUAAUAUUACUUGUCACUGAAAAAUGAGUAAAUAAAAAGAAACGAAUUAUUCCUCAUGCUUUUACAAUGUCUAUCUGCUAUUUGUGAUUUAUUAAGAUACAUUUUGAGUAUUAACAUUAGUUUUUGUUACUAUGAAGGCAAAGGUGAUGGUACAAAUGCAGAAUCUGGAGCACAUGAAGAAGAUUUUCUCAUCCAGGAUGAGAUUUCUAAAUCUUGUCUAGUGAACGUGUAGCGUGUAAGUCAUUCUUUAUGGAGAUGCUGCAUUUUGCAAGUAUUGCAAAAGUUGCAAGUGCUCCAUUAUACAUGCAUCCCUUGUUAUUGAAUUGUUGAUUAUCUGUAGGAGGAAGAGACAAUUUUGCAUGAGAGAGACGGCUAUAAACUGGAAGAGGGACGUCUUAUACGUGAAUUGAAAAGGAUACGAGAUGAGGAUGAUUCAAGUUUUAAUAAUUUUCAGAUUUUAAAUCAUCAAUAUGCCCUUUUAAACCUUCUUGGGCAAGGAGGAUUUAGUGAGGUUUACAAGGUCCGAACUUCGGCAAGUAGUUUCAAUUGAUAAUAGAAAGUAGUUUCAUUUGAUAAUAGAAACACUAACCUUUGCUUGUUUGAUGAAAAUUCUUAUAUACCAUGACAAGAGUAUAGAUCAUUCUGUUGCCAAUAUUGACAAUUGUAAAAGCACAUCCUUUUGCAGUGAUUUGAAGUGAGAAAUUUCCGGCAGGCUUAUGAUUUGGUCGAGCAUAGGUAUGUUCCAUGAAGGUGCAGGGCAUCAUGUUUUAUCUGCUUUUGUUGAGAUUGUGUUGAUAAUUCCGACAAUCACAUCCCGGUAAUACUUCAUAACCUACUUCUUUUUCUUUUCUGAGGUAUGGAGUGUAAAUAAUGGUCCACAUCUUAUUAAGAAAGAAGAAGGAUCCUGAAUUUUAUAUUUGUUUUUUUCUUCUUCUAACAUAUAAGCUUAUCUUUAUCUUUACAAAGCUUCUCCCACAAUGCUCCAGAAUUUCUUUUGAAUUAGUUGUUCUAUCAUGAGGCAUAAUUUUAUUUUAGUUCAGAAAGUCAAACUUUGGCCACCA
Molecule: long non-coding RNA, 4499 nt
Organism: Populus nigra (black poplar)
Lineage: Eukaryota; Viridiplantae; Streptophyta; Magnoliopsida; Malpighiales; Salicaceae
Exons: 2
Source: RefSeq, a predicted model, not a curated record